Molecule: ribosomal RNA, 840 nt
Filed under: uncultured archaeon
Lineage: Archaea
Description: bacterial SSU rRNA
Rfam family: Archaeal small subunit ribosomal RNA
Source: RNAcentral
UGGCGAACGGCUCAGUAACACGUAGUCAACAUGCCCAGAGGACGUGGAUAACCUCGGGAAACUGAGGAUAAACCUCGAUAGGCCAUGAUUUCUGGAAUGAUUCUUGGCUCAAACCUAUAUGGCCUCUGGAUUGGACUGCGGCCGAUCAGGCUGUUGGUGAGGUAAUGGCCCACCAAACCUAUUACCGGUACGGGCUCUGAGAGGAGGAGCCCGGAGAUGGGCACUGAGACAAGGGCCCAGGCCCUAUGGGGCGCAGCAGGCGCGAAACCUCUGCAAUAGGCGAAAGCUUGACAGGGUUACUCUGAGUGAUUUCCGCUAAGGGAAUCUUUUGGCACCUCUAAAAAUGGUGCAGAAUAAGGGGUGGGCAAGUCUGGUGUCAGCCGCCGCGGUAAUACCAGCACCCCGAGUGGUCGGGACGAUUAUUGGGCCUAAAGCAUCCGUAGCCGGUCCUGCAAGUCUUCCGUUAAAUCCAGCUGCUCAACAGAUGGGCUGCGGGAGAUACUACAGGGCUAGGAGGCGGGAGAGGCAAGCGGUACUUUAUGGGUAGGGGUAAAAUCCGCUGAUCCAUAGAAGACCACCAGUGGCGAAGGCGGCUUGCCAGAACGCGCUCGACGGUGAGGGAUGAAAGCUGGGGGAGCAAACCGGAUUAGAUACCCGGGUAGUCCCAGCUGUAAACGAUGCAGACUCGGUGAUGGGUUGGCCUCGCGCCUGCCCAGUGCCGCAGGGAAGCCGUUAAGUCUGCCGCCUGGGGAGUACGGUCGCAAGACUGAAACUUAAAGGAAUUGGCGGGGGAGCACCACAAGGGGUGAAGCCUGCGGUUCAAUUGGAUUCAACGCCGGA